Molecule: long non-coding RNA, 1382 nt
Organism: Galleria mellonella (greater wax moth)
Lineage: Eukaryota; Metazoa; Arthropoda; Insecta; Lepidoptera; Pyralidae
Exons: 4
Source: RefSeq, a predicted model, not a curated record
UCCUAUUAUUUGAUACCCAUAUUGUGGUGGUUGUGGAAAAAUAUGUACCUAGUCCGCCAUAUUGGAACGGCGUCCAUCUUGAAUUUUAAAUUUUGACAUAAUCAUCGUGUUUUACUAGUGUAGCCCUUUCAUUUGAUACCCAUAUUGCGGGGGUUAAGGAAAAAUAUGUAAUCCGCCAUUUUGUAUCGGCGGCCAUCUUAGAUUUAUAAUGUUAUUGAUUUUAUUAUAUUCUAUUGUCAUCUAAAUUAAAUGUGUGUACCAAAUUUCAGAUCAAUCUGACAACGGGAAGGUGCUUAAAUUCCAAUUUCUAAUUUUGACCCAAAUAAAUAAAUACCGUACGGGUCGAGCUAAAUAAAACCGUUUAAAAAAAAAAAGAUGUUCCUGUCCAGAUUCACACGUCACAGGCAUUCUAUGUUGAACACAAAUUAUGGGCGAGUCUGGAAUUUGUUUUUUACUCGAUUACCGACAAAAGGAAUGUAAUGAUACGGGUCUUCACAGUAUAUAAAAAUCGAGGGGCCCGUAACCGUCACCUAUGCGAGCUGCGGCUUCCAGUGUGAGACGAGACGCUGUAACGCAAACCGCUAAAUGCCUCCCGAAGAAGACUUGGAAGGGUGAAAUAAAAAUUGCCGAAAACGGCAACAACACAGUCUUCAGAAGAACAUGGACAAGACUAGAAUCAUGUCUAACGUCCAUGUCACAUCUACCGGUUACAAUUGCGAACACUACGCUAGAAGUUGUCGAUGAGUAUGUGUACCUGGGACAAGUUGUCCGAAUAGAUAAGUCCAAUUUCAACCGACGAUUCCAACUGGGCAGCGUUCGGAAAACUACGCCACAUCUUUUCAUCCAAAAUACAUCAAAUUUUGAAGAGGAAGCUAAACAUCACAAACGUUCCUUAUUGUCUUAGAAAAGUCAGUACAUCUUUCAUGGGGAACUGUAUACGUUUUUAUAAUAAACUUCCAGAUGACGUUUUACAUUUAAAUGAAAGAAAAUUUAAAACAUAUAUAUAAAAAGGACUCUCUGUACAAAAGCAUAUUAUAAAUUAAAUGACUAUUUGAAUGACAAAACUGCAUGGAUUUGAAUUUUGUAUUAAUGUGAAUUGUAUUGUAAAUGUAAUUAUUGUAAUUUUUUUUAAAUCAAUAUUAUUUUAUAUAGUAUAUAUUAUAAUUAUAGAUUGACGUAUCAUAAGAAUCUGUAACAGAUGUAUAUGAAUAAAGAUGAUUGAAUGAUUGAUUGAUUGAAACUUGCUCUACCUCAAAAUUAGUAGAAUAUACUAGCUGACCCCGUAAACGUUGUUUUACCACUUAUUGCAAAAUAUAAAAAUCGCGAUUAAAAUACAGGGGUUGAUCGUAAUACGAUGAAAAUUUAAAGUUGUAUGUAUUUUU